GAACCAGCCAUGCCGCGUGCAGGAAGACAGCCCUCUGGGUCGUAAACUGCUUUUAUUCGGGAAUAAACCUUAUUACGUGUAAUAAGCUGAAUGUACCGAAGGAAUAAGGAUCGGCUAACUCCGUGCCAGCAGCCGCGGUAAUACGGAGGAUCCAAGCGUUAUCCGGAUUUAUUGGGUUUAAAGGGUGCGUAGGCGGCUUAUUAAGUCAGGGGUGAAAGACGGUGGCUCAACCAUCGCAGUGCCUUUGAUACUGAUGAGCUUGAAUGAACUAGAGGUAGGCGGAAUGUGACAAGUAGCGGUGAAAUGCAUAGAUAUGUCACAGAACACCGAUUGCGAAGGCAGCUUACUAUGGUUUUAUUGACGCUGAGGCACGAAAGCGUGGGGAUCAAACAGGAUUAGAUACCCUGGUAGUCCACGCCCUAAACGAUGAAUACUCGCUGUUAGCGAUAUACAGUUAGCGGCUAAGCGAAAGCGUUAAGUAUUCCACCUGGGGAGUACGCCCGCAAGGGUGAAACUCAAAGGAAUUGACGG
This 531-nucleotide ribosomal RNA is filed under the name uncultured bacterium. RNAcentral's name for it is "bacterial SSU rRNA". It matches the Rfam family "Bacterial small subunit ribosomal RNA", at positions 385 to 916 of the family's 1533-position model. The record is from RNAcentral.